RNAcentral lists this ribosomal RNA (500 nucleotides) under uncultured bacterium. Its description in RNAcentral is "bacterial SSU rRNA". It matches the Rfam family "Bacterial small subunit ribosomal RNA", at positions 30 to 524 of the family's 1533-position model. The record is from RNAcentral.
AUUGAACGCUGGCGGAAUGCUUUACACAUGCAAGUCGAGCGGCAGCGCGGGGCAACCUGGCGGCGAGCGGCGAACGGGUGAGUAAUACAUCGGAACGUGCCCAGACGUGGGGGGAUAACUACUCGAAAGAGUGGCUAAUACCGCAUACGAUCUAAGGAUGAAAGCGGGGGAUCGCAAGACCUCGCGCGUUUGGAGCGGCCGAUGGCAGAUUAGGUAGUUGGUGGGGUAAAGGCUUACCAAGCCCGCGAUCUGUAGCUGGUCUGAGAGGAUGAUCAGCCACACUGGGACUGAGACACGGCCCAGACUCCUACGGGAGGCAGCAGUGGGGAAUUUUGGACAAUGGGCGAAAGCCUGAUCCAGCCAUUCCGCGUGCAGGAUGAAGGCCCUCGGGUUGUAAACUGCUUUGUACAGAACGAAAAAGACUCUUUCUAAUACAGAGAGUCCAUGACGGUACUGUAAGAAUAAGCACCGGCUAACUACGUGCCAGCAGCCGCGGUAAU